UCAUUGCGAUGAUGAUUUAUGAAUAAACUUCGCAUGUCAGACUUCGGAGAUGCUUCUGGCAUCCAUGAGAAGAUGUUUCAUACCACUGAGCAAUAC
Molecule: small nucleolar RNA, 96 nt
Organism: Setaria italica (foxtail millet)
Lineage: Eukaryota; Viridiplantae; Streptophyta; Magnoliopsida; Poales; Poaceae
Rfam family: Small nucleolar RNA R64/Z200 family
About the family: This family of plant small nucleolar RNAs belong to the C/D class of snoRNA which contain the C (UGAUGA) and D (CUGA) box motifs. This family includes Arabidopsis thaliana snoRNA R64 and Oryza sativa snoRNAs Z200 and J16. Most of the members of the box C/D family function in directing site-specific 2'-O-methylation of substrate RNAs.
Source: Rfam